Molecule: ribosomal RNA, 253 nt
Filed under: uncultured bacterium
Lineage: Bacteria
Description: partial 16S ribosomal RNA
Rfam family: Bacterial small subunit ribosomal RNA
Source: RNAcentral
UACGGAGGGUGCAAGCGUUAUCCGGAUUCACUGGGUUUAAAGGGUGCGUAGGUGGAUUGAUAAGUCAGUGGUGAAAGCCCCGAGCUCAACUUGGGAAUUGCCAUUGAUACUGUUAGUCUUGAGUUCGGUUGAGGUAGGCGGAAUAAGUCAUGUAGCGGUGAAAUGCUUAGAUAUGACUUAGAACACCGAUUGCGAAGGCAGCUUACCAAGCCGACACUGACACUGAGGCACGAAAGCGUGGGGAUCAAACAGG